Molecule: unclassified non-coding RNA, 202 nt
Filed under: Hevea brasiliensis (rubber tree)
Lineage: Eukaryota; Viridiplantae; Streptophyta; Magnoliopsida; Malpighiales; Euphorbiaceae
Source: RNAcentral
UCACCAUUAAUAUCAUUUUUUUUUUCUCUUUAAGAGAAAAUAAAGUAAAAAGAAGGUUUGCAAAGAUUGGGAUUGUACGAGAACAAGACUAGGAGCUCUUGUCGAAUCAUUAUGUGGAGGGCUCACUUCUCCUAGUCUAGUCUCAGCAAGCAUUGCUCUAAAGGCUGUUGUUGUCAAAGUAAUUAUUAAAAGAGAGAGAGAG